This is a long non-coding RNA of Mercenaria mercenaria, 9640 nucleotides long. RefSeq lists it as uncharacterized. NCBI's taxonomy places the organism in Eukaryota, Metazoa, Mollusca, Bivalvia, Venerida, Veneridae. The record is from RefSeq and is a predicted model, not a curated record. The transcript has 2 exons.
UCUAAUCGCUAUGUAAGACAAUGAAAAUAAAAAUUAUGUUAAAAAAAACAGAGGAAAAAUGCAGCAAGAGGUUUAAGUAAACAUCUUUUUCCAAAAACACUUAUUAUUGAUACAUUGUCUAUAACAUAUGUUAUCUUCUCAGAGACUUGAGUAAUUACCGCAAAAGGUUGCUACAGUGGAAAAACAGUAUUUACAUCAGGUGAUAAAUGCUAACCAACUACUCCAGAGUUGUCAAGUUCCUUUAACGGAGAUAUUUUUGGUUAUUAAUUGAUGGCUGCGUAUUGAUUGGUUGAAUUGAGUUAUUCGGGCCCGUCGUUCUACGAGUGCUCUGCUAUUAGAGUGGAUGAGCACAGUCAUCGUGAAGAGUAUUGGCUUUGAAGAAUUAUGCUGUAAUUUGUUGGAGAGCGGCAAAAAGAAAAAAAAAUCGUGAUUGGACUAAUUAAGUGAAUUGGGAAAAUUAAACCCAUGAGAGGAUUAUGAUGUAACGGAUUUUAAAUGGAAAAUAGAUAAUUUUAGAUAUUGAAUUUGUUGCAUGCUGUAGAAGUGAUUGAUUUUCAAAAAAAUUAAGGAUCAGGGAAUUUGUUUUUAUUAUUAAUAAGAAUAUUCAGGCAUGGCAUGAUGACCAUAAAAAAAGUAUGCUGACAUGGUAUUGAAUUAAGAGUGAUUCCAAGCAUGACAACAUGCAAGCUAUUGAUGAAAAAUAUUCCAAUUAGUUUAAUCAAUUAAUCUGAAAGCAGAGCUUUAUUAGAGUAACUUUGAAAUCUUUCAGAAGAAAGGAAUUCUUGUGAAUAAGGAAGCUGUUUGACUACAUGUAUUGUCAUUGAAGACAAUAUUUUCUUUGAAGACUUACUUCAAAAAACUCGAAAACAUUCUGGAAAAAUAUUAUUCCGGAAAAAAAGAUCACAUAGUUGCUCACCUCCUAUUCUAUUGAUGUUAAUUUCGGACCUCAGCAUGACGGCGGUAGAAUGUCAGCACAAAGAUAAACCGCAGGUGUUGACGCCCACAAAAAUUGUUCCGGGUGAUGGAGAUUUUGAGGUUCCGGAGUUACCAAGGGUUCAGUGGCCUGUACCAAAAGGAGAAGCACAUGAAAUACAUCCACCAUCAAAAGAUCAGCCUGGUAUUGUCGUUCACAUCUGCGAAGACCCGGAGGGAUACCGAGAAAAAGGCGGUAUCCUACAAACAAGAUGUCCUGAAAGGAAAACGUGAACAGCUUAAUAUUUUGUGUAAACUGUAAGAAUUAAUUGAGUAAGUUGGGAAUUGCUGCAAUGACUUUUGUGACUUCUUAUCUUUCAGAAGAUUUGAAGGGAUUUAUGUUAUAUUGGCAUUUAACCUGGAUUUGUUUACAUGGUCUAUGCAUCUCAUCGGAAAAAUUUGUGUUAUUUCUUCUUUGAUGUUAACAGUUCCAUUUAUGUUAGAAAGUCUUUCAGCAGAAAAAAGUUAUAACUUACCUGUUAUAAAGGUUAUAAGCUAAAUGUGAAAAAGAGUUUCAUUUUGCAGUACAUGCGAAAAGGAAAGCUGUCGUAAACUGCGAUUAAUCAGCUUUUUGUUUGUUAAGUUUCUUCGCCGUAACAGUUACCUUCAGUUUCCAUAGUAACAUCAUCCCCAGAAUCUAUUCUUGGUUGCCAUAGAAACAUUGUCACGGCCAUGUAUUUCUGUCUCAGUCCAAAUGUGGUGAGACAGAUUUUAAAGUAAGAGGUUUGUUAUUUAAAAUAAGUAUUUAUCGAUUUUCAUGAAAUUAAAAAAGUCUUCAUAGCUGGCAAUUCCUGCAAUUAACUAAUUACUUUAACAAGUUUUUAGCUCACCUGAACCAAAUGUUCAGGUGAGCGGUUUUUUGUAGGCAGAUGGUCCAGCAUCAACAUUUUCACUUAAACAUUUUCUCCUAUGAAACUACUGGUCAGAAUUACACCAAAUUUGGUCUGUAGCAUCUUGUCAAGAUCCUCUCUCCAGUUUAUUCAAAUAUGGGCACUUUGGAGCUGCUGAAGCAGAAAAUGGAAAAAAGAACUUUAAAUGACUUCUUUUUAUGAACGGCUUGAAGAUCUUCAUCAGGCUCUGUGUGUAGCAUCAUUAUAACGUCCUCUAUCAAAUUUGUUCAAAUGGAAGCACUUGGCCCUUUUUUUUGGCCACUAGAGCAAAAAAUAGAUAUACCUUUAAACAACAUCUUCUCCCAAAGGGCUUUAUAGAUCUUUAUCAAACUUGAUCUGUAGCAUUCUUCUCAAGUCCUCUUCUGAGUUUUUUUUUUUUUUUUUUUUCAAAUGGGGGGCAUUUGGACCCUUAAGGGGGCUACUAGAGCUAAAAAUAAAUUUCUUGGAAAUUUGUUUUUCCCAUAAACUGCUUCGGAGGAUUUUAAUUAAACUUGGUCAGUAGCAUUCUUUUAAGGUCCCCUUUCAAAUUUGUUUAUAUGUGGACACUUGAUCUGUUUGAUGUCUUUUUUAUACUUAACCGAAAUGUUACCAUCCAUGAUUGUAUGUCAUACAUAUAUAAAACAAGGUCAAAUAGUCAAGGUCAGGUUAGUGUCUACAGCCACUAUGGUCCUCUUGUUAUCUUUACAAAAUUAACAGCUGUUCAAACAAGGGAAAGAAAUUUUUUGUGAUCCCCUUUGAAUGGUGUGAUCACUGGAAUACUUAAAUGCAUGAGUCAUGAUAUACAAUACCAAUUCCAUUGUUCAAAUGAUAUAUGCCACUGUGUUUACUGUAUGUUUAUUUAUACAUUGUAUGUUUGAAUGUAUGUGAGCCUGAUUUGUUAUUUCAUCAUUUUAUUGUCAGAAUACAUGUAUUGCACUGUUUUUACAUUGCUACUACUUUUUAGCUCACCUGAGCACAAAGUGCUCAGGGUGAGGUAUUGUGAUCGCUCACCGUCCGGCGUCCGUCCGUCCGUCCGUCCGUCCGUCCGUCCGUCUGUCCGUCCGUCCGUCCGUCGUCCGUCCACACUUUCCUUUAAACAACAUCUCCUCCUAAACCAACAGGCCAAUUUUGAUGAAACUUCACAGGGAUGUUCCUUGGAUGGCCCCCUUUCAAAAUUGUUCAAAGAAUUGAAUUCUAUGCAGAACACUGGUUGCCAUGGCAACCGAAAGGAAAAACUUUAAAAAUCUUCUUCUCAAAAACCAGAAGACCUAGAGCUUAGAUAUUUGGUGUGAAGCAUUGCCUAGUGGACCUCUACCAAGUUUGUUCAAAUCAUGACCCCGGGGUCAAAAUUGACCCCGCCCCAGGGGUCACUUGAUUUUACAUAAGAAAAUCUUAAAAAAUCUUCUUCUCAAAAACCAGAAGCCUUAGAGCUUAGAUAUUUGACAUGUAGCAUUGCCUAGUGGACCUCUACUAAAAUUGUUCAAAUCAUGACCCCGGGGUCAAAAUUGACUCUGCCCCAGGGGGCACUUGAUUUUACAUAGGAAAAUCUUCAAAAAAUUUCUAAAAAUAAACCAGAAGGCCUAAAGCUUAGAUAUUUCACAUGUAGCAUUGCCUAGUGGACCUCUACAAAAUUUGUUCAAAUCAUGGCCCCCGGGGUCAAAAUUGACCCCGCCCCAGGGGUCACUUGAUUUUACAUAAGAAAAUAUUUAAAAAAUCUUCUUCUCAAAAACCAGAAGCCCUAGAGCUUAGAUAUUUGACAUGUAGCAUUGCCUAGUUGACCUCUACUAAAUUUGUUCAAAUUAUGACCCGGGGGUCAAAAUUGACCCCGCCCUAGGGGUCACUUGACUUUACAACGGAAAAUCUUCAAAAGUUUUCUAAAAACAAACCAGAAGGCCUAGAGCUUAGAUAUUUCACAUGUAGCAUUACCUAGUGGACCUCUACAAAAUUUGUUCAUAUCAUGACCCCCUGGGUCAAAAUUGACCCCGCCCCAGAGGUCACUUGAUUUUACAUAGGAAAAUCUUCAAAAAUUUUCUAAAAAUAAACUAGAAGGCGUAGAGACUAGAUAUUUGACAUGUAGCAUUGCCUAGUGGACCUCUACAAAAUUUGUUCAAACCUUGUCCCCCGGGGUCAAAAUUGACUCCGCCCUAGGGGUCACUUGAUUUUACAUAGGAAAAAUCUUAAAAAAAAAAUUCUAAAAAUAAACCAGAAGGCCUAGAUCUUAGAUAUUUGACAUGUAGCAUUGCCUAUUAGACUUUUACAAAGUUUAUUCAAAUCAUGACCCCUGGGGUCAAAUUGACCCUGCCCCAUGGGGUUACUUGAUUGUACAUAGAAAAAUCUUCAAAAUUUUCUAAAAAUAAACCAGAAGAGCUUAGAUAUUUGACAUGUAGCAUUGCCUAGUGGACCUCUACAAAAAGUUUUCAAAUCUUGUUUUUAAAGUUACUUAAAGAAAAUUUCAACUAUAUUUUCUCAUAAUUCUUUUGAUUGAUUUCUAUUAUGAUCUUUUGACCUUGAAGACUUGUCCUUAAGUGCAAUGAUAACAGGUGAGCGAUAUAGGGCCAUCAUGGCCCUCUUGUCUUUAUUUUAUUAUUUUGUGUUGAAUGACGUUCAUAUCUUGCAUUUCACUUCGAAUUACUUCAAAAUGUCACUCUUCUUCAUUUUAUCAAUUUGAGGUACCUCAUAUUAUCACUUGGCUUAAUUGAAAAGUCACAUUCUAUUUCAUCACCUUUUAAUUUUGUUUCAAAAUCUCACUUUUUGUCAUAACAUCAAAAUCUCAUUUCUGAAUAACAUCAUUCUGUCAUUACAUCAAAAUCUCACUUUUCUUCAUUACAUCAAAAUCUCAUAUUUCUUCAUUACAUCUAAGUUUCAAAAUCUCACUUUUCUUCACUACAUAAAAAUCUCAUGUCUUAGUUUUCAUUAAAUUUCAUGAACAGACUCAAUCAAACCGAGUCUGCAAUUAAGUUGCUUGGUUGCAUUCUAUACGUCCAAAGGAUCUAUUCACAGGUUUCAUUCAUUACAUCAAAAUCUCGUAUCUUCAUUCCAUCAAAAUCUCUGACUUUUCUUCAUUACAUCAGAAUCUCACAUUUCUUCAUUACAUUAAAAUCUCACUCAAGCUAUGUUCUGAUAAUUAAGACUUAAUAAACUAGAUUUGGGUAAGGAAUGCUUUAAAUGUUACUUGAUUGUCUGUGCUAAUGGUUGAGGUUUAUAUAUCGAUGGAUUUAUAUGGCAGUAUAGUGUAGCCCAGUUUGAACUGAGGUACCUGAUCUUAGCUCAAACUUGCACUGUCAGGGAUGAGAGGAAAUGUGAGAUAUUAAGGUUUAUGUUGUUUUUGUUUACAUUUCCAUUGUACCAUGUAAUUAUAUAUGUUUAUUUUAUUUCAUGUUAUUUUUAUUGGUGUAAAAGAGGUUGGGAUUUUAUUGCUGUAUGAAUUUUCAUUGGAAAGUUGAUAUUUUACACGUUAUUGUGUGAAAUCAUUAACCUUUAGCCUGCUAAUGGCAAGUGGUUCUGCCUUUGCAACCAGUGCGGGCUGAUCAUGGUCUGCACUGUUCGCUAUUCAGUCAGUAAAUUUUCAGUGAACACCCCUUUUAACAAUAAGUGGUACUGCCCAAUUUGAACGAUGGAACAGUCCAUUAUAGAAAUUUAGCAGGGUAGAGGUUAAUAUUCAUUUGGGACUAAUUUUCGUGGAUUUCAUGGUUGCGUCAGUCCACAAAACUCAAUCCAAAUGAACAAGCUAAGUUCCCAUUCUUUUUUCGUGAUAGGUGCAAAACCAUGACUUCAUAUCCCAAGGAAAACAGCCAUUUUGGGCCAAACCACAAAAUGCUAUACCCACGAAAUUAAAUGAUUUUGCAGUAUGUAGAACAAAUGAAAAUUUCGCUUCGGCAAAUACUGUAUUUAUGAAGUAGAAAAAAAAUGCUUACUUUUCAAAACGUACAUAAGAAGUUACAGAUUUCAUACCUGUAUUUGUACAGAUUCUUGCAGUUCUAUAAAACAUCUGUUUUGUUAACAUUUAGAACAAUGCUGUGAAACUGGUAAUACUUAUUUCUGAUGUUUAAAGCAUCAUUCUGACAUUCAUUAACAUGUUUUGACAGUUUGUAGUUGAUGGAACUUCCCAACUACAUUGUAAUUUUCAGAUAAACCUGCAUGGAACACAUUCUUUCACAGUAUCAGAACGAUUCAAGGGACAGCUUUAUUUUGAAAUUUAAAAAUGAAAAUGUCAGUUUGAAACAUACCUGUUUCCAGUCCUGUUUCUUUUUGUAGAUUUAUGUACAUUUUCACAUGAAAUUUGGAAGGAUACUGUUGUAUGUAACGGCUACUUAUACAGUAAAGUGGAAAAAAAUAUCCCGAUGACUUAUUCAUAUAUAUAUGUGUAUAUAUCAUGAUCCAGCUCACUUUAAGAGAGGGAAUUUAUUACUUCGCUGGUCUCAAUCGGUAUAAAAGACUAAAAUAUCACUGCUGAUUUCUAAGAAAUGUUAACAGAGAUUAGUCAGUGAGUAUAUAUGCAAAUAUUGAACCAGUUCUGAUGAGUAGUGCAGUUAGGGCAUAUAUAUUUAACCAGCAUUGAAACCAGCUCUUAUGAGUUGGUGGAUUUGUUGUGGAAUAUGCAUGCUGUCAUUUUACCGUAAUUGGUCUGGUGUAUUUUAGUGGUAGUUUUUUUCCUGUGAAUUUUCUUUAUCUAUAUAAAGGAAAGGUUGUUUGAAUAUUGGAAAUAUUGCAAUUUAUGAGUCCAUUUUUGUGCCCCACCCCCAUGAGUGGUGGGGGCAUAUAGAUUUGCUCUUGUACGUCCGUACGAAGUUCGUGACACGCCUACCUCAAAAAGUAUUUGAUAUAAAUUAAUAAAACCUUGCAUGAGUCUUUAUCAUGAUAUGAACUUGUGCACCUUCUAUUUGUCGUCUUGCUCCGCCACCUAAUUUUAGAGUUAUGGCCCCUGAAAUAGUCAAAAAUGCACAUUUUCACCUUGUGACAUGCUUAGCUCAAAAAGUAUUUGAUAUAGAUCCAUGAAACCUUGCAUGAGUCUUUAUCAUGAUAUGAACUUGCACACCUCUUAUUUUUCAUCUGGGGACGCCUACUAUUUCUAGAGUUAUGGCCCCAGAAAUAGUCAAAAAUGCACAUUUUCACCUUGUGACAUGCCUAGCUCAAAAAGUAUUUGAUAUAAAUUAAUGAAACCUUGCAUGAGUCUUUAUCAUGGUAUGAACUUGCGCACCUCCUAUUUUUCGUCUGGCUCCGCCCCCUGUUUUUAGAGUUAUGGCCCCUGAAAUAGUCAAAAAUGCACAUUUUCACCUUGUGACACGCCUAGCUCCAAAAGUAUUUGAUAUAGAUUCAUGAAACCUUGCAUGAGUCUUAAUCAUGAUAUGAACUUGCGCUCUUCCUAUAUUUCAUCUGGGUCCGCCCCCUAUUUUUAGGGUUAUGGCCCCUGAAAUAUUCAAAAAUGCACAUUUUCACUUUGUGACACCCCUAGCUCAAUAGGUAUUUGAUAUAAAUUGAUGAAACCUUGCAUGAAUCUUUAUCAUGAUAUGAACUUGUGAACCUCCUAUUUUUCAUUGGGUCCGCCCCCUAUUUCCAGAGUUAUGGCCCCUGAAAUAGUAAAAAAAUGCACAUUUUCACCUAAUUAUGUGCCUCACUCAAAAAGUAUUUCAUGUAAAUUCAUGAAACCUUGCUGGAGUCUUUAUCAUAAUGUGACCUUGCACACUUGGCAUUCUUCUUGAGAAUUUUAGCGUUUAUUACAGAGUUAUGGCCCUUGAAAUAGCCAAAAUAGUGGAUUUUUUGUUUGUGAUGCUCAUAGCUCAAAAAGUAUAUGGUAUAGAAUAACGAAUCCAUUUCAUAUUUUUUUGAGGCUAUACCCCAUUAAGACUGCAAACAUUUGAACGAUUUCCCCUUAUUUGUGACAAAUGUACCAGUGGGGGCACACCCUGUGUCCUACAGACACAUUCUAGUUGUAAGUUACAUUCCAUGAUUAUACAGAAUAAAAUGCACUGUUAUUUUUUUUUUUCAAAUAAAAAUGGAAAAUUAUAGAAUCUUUAUUUUGAUAGAAGAAAAGGCUGUAACAUUUCGAAGUCCAAUGGUAAACUUUUGUUUUUGGUAUUUUGAUGACGUAAGUUUGUCAGUGAAGAAGAGUUUUUAACUAUUUUAUGCUUAGGUACAAGUAGAAGUAUGGUAUACAGUUAAACACUGCUCACGUGAGCAUCGAUGGCCUAAGACUUCGUUUUUUUUAUAUUUGGAUUUGUCAAAACCUUGGAUAACUUUAGCAUUUGGCUAAUCCCCAUGCAAUUUAGGUGUUUUGGGUGUUUUGCUGUAUUUGCAUACCUCCAGACAGAAUGAUGUAUGACAAUAACAAAAUUUUUAAAAACAUAAAGCAGUGUCUACAAAAAAACCCAAAACCAUAGGUCAGUUUUAAUUUAGUUUAAAUUCCACUUUUUUAAGCCAGUGCUUCAGGGUAGUGUGAGGGCUGUUGCACAUUUAAUUACCUCUCAUGAACGGACUUGGCCAAACCAAGUCUGUUAUUGCUUUACUUUGUUGCAUGAGGCUUUUAUAUAGAGUUUGUUAAUGCGUAUGAUUUAAUCAGCAAAAUUCACUCAUUUUUAAACACCAAAUUUUACUGUGUGACUGGCACAGUAGACAGAUUUUCUGUAUAUGUUGUAGACCAAACAAUGAUUUCUAUAAACAGAUACCCCCUUAGAAACUUCAGACUCACUUUGUUGAAAUUCAUUCAUGAUUACCAACAUUUUUUUUUCUUUAAUAUGAAACCUGGAGGCAUGCCCCUUAAAAAAUAAUAUUAAUAAAAAAAGUUGUUAUUGUUAUAUCUUUUAAAGGUCAGUCCUUCCUUGGCCAGUUUUGCAGAAAAAGGACCUGUUAGCGAGUCACUGUGAAAACACAUGAUUUUCAAUAACUUUAUCAAAUACAGUGAAAUUGCAACCUUAGUGGCAUUUGUAUCGCAUGGCAUUAAAGUUACAUAUCAUGAGAAAUAAAAAAAGCUCUGGAACAGGGCAUUAGUGAAAAACUGUUGUUUGGACCGAGCAAUACAUUUUUUUUUCAUGUGGUGUGCAUGCUUUUUGAAAAAAAAGAAGGAAAGGCAUUAAUUACCUUUAUAUGGCCUAUAUGUAUUAACUGUUCUCAUAUUGUGACAGUAUAAAAUUAGAACGCUGCUUCAUUAACUUUGUAAAAAUUCUCUUUUCCAAAUUCAACUCUUAAAUUUAUAAAAGCCCAGCCCUUUCAUUAAUGCGUUGUGAGAUGUGUAAUAUUUAAUUGAAUUAUUUAUGGGGAAAUAAUACAGCUCCAGGUCUAUGAAACUGUGUACAUGUACCCGGUAAGCAUAAAAAUACGCGAUCAAGCCUGUAUAGACCAUACAGUGAAGAUGAAAUUUGGUUGGAGGUUUUGUCUUCAAAAAGGGUAUACCUCCAGACACAUAACACCAGCUUAAGGUUGCGGACACAUAAUGACAGUCAACAAUUUCCAUGUGAUUAUGUAUACUUUGCGGCUGUAACAGAAAAUCAUUUUUAGAAUAACCGGAGAAUGCGGAAAUCUCGCUUAAAGAUUAUGUAAACGAAUAAAUGAAUGGAAAUUGCCGAUCAUCAUUUCAGGUUCACUUCCUUAAGGUGUUUUUGUUUCGAGCUCGAGCCUCUGUCUAGUCAUAUCAUGAAAACGGGAUAAUGUCAUUUUAAAUUUUGCAUUGUUCGUAAUUAUGUUAAUGUUUACUUUUCUUUCUGUCUGAUUAUGAAAAUGUGUUUUGUCAUGUGUUGACAAUUUUAAACUCUUGUUUGUAUUUAGUACGAUUAUUAAAUAGUUGAAUAAAAAUAUGUAAAGUUGUA